Molecule: ribosomal RNA, 301 nt
Filed under: uncultured bacterium
Lineage: Bacteria
Description: partial 16S ribosomal RNA
Rfam family: Bacterial small subunit ribosomal RNA
Source: RNAcentral
CAGUAGCCACGGUAAUACGUAGGUGGCAAGCGUUGUCCGGAAUUAUUGGGCGUAAAGGGCUCGCAGGCGGUUUCUUAAGUCUGAUGUGAAAGCCCCCGGCUCAACCGGGGAGGGUCAUUGGAAACUGGGAAACUUGAGUGCAGAAGAGGAGAGUGGAAUUCCACGUGUAGCGGUGAAAUGCGUAGAGGUGUGGAGGAACACCAGUGGCGAAGGCGACUCUCUGGUCUGUAACUGACGCUGAGGAGCGAAAGCGUGGGAGCGAACAGGAUUAGAUACCCCCGUAGUCCCUGUCUCUUAUACA